Molecule: ribosomal RNA, 253 nt
Filed under: uncultured bacterium
Lineage: Bacteria
Description: partial 16S ribosomal RNA
Rfam family: Bacterial small subunit ribosomal RNA
Source: RNAcentral
UACGGGGGGGGCAAGCGUUGUUCGGAAUUACUGGGCGUAAAGGGCGCGUAGGCGGCCUGCUAAGUCGGACGUGAAAUCCCUCGGCUCAACCUGGGAACUGCGUCCGAUACUGGAUGGCUUGAAUCCGGGAGAGGGAUGCAGAAUUCCAGGUGUAGCGGUGAAAUGCGUAGAUAUCUGGAGGAAUACCGGUGGCGAAGGCGGCAUCCUGGACCGGCAUUGACGCUGAGGAGCGAAAGCCAGGGGAGCAAACGGG